Molecule: ribosomal RNA, 429 nt
Filed under: Acidobacteriota bacterium
Lineage: Bacteria; Pseudomonadati; Acidobacteriota
Description: Acidobacteria bacterium partial 16S ribosomal RNA
Rfam family: Bacterial small subunit ribosomal RNA
Source: RNAcentral
UGGGGAAUUUUGGACAAUGGGGGAAACCCUGAUCCAGCCAUCCCGCGUGUGCGAUGAAGGCCUUCGGGUUGUAAAGCACUUUUGGCAGGAAAGAAACGUCAUGGGUUAAUACCCCGUGAAACUGACGGUACCUGCAGAAUAAGCACCGGCUAACUACGUGCCAGCAGCCGCGGUAAUACGUAGGGUGCAAGCGUUAAUCGGAAUUACUGGGCGUAAAGCGUGCGCAGGCGGUUCGGAAAGAAAGAUGUGAAAUCCCAGAGCUCAACUUUGGAACUGCAUUUUUAACUACCGGGCUAGAGUGUGUCAGAGGGAGGUGGAAUUCAGCGUGUAGCAGUGAAAUGCGUAGAUAUGCGGAGGAACACCGAUGGCGAAGGCAGCCUCCUGGGAUAACACUGACGCUCAUGCACGAAAGCGUGGGGAGCAAACAGG